ACACGGAGAGAUUAGAUGACCCCUCAACCCUGCUCUGAUGUACUUCUCAUAACCAUGACUCCUACACAGAUUAUUAUCAAUAAAA
This is a long non-coding RNA of Salarias fasciatus (jewelled blenny), 85 nucleotides long. RefSeq lists it as uncharacterized. NCBI's taxonomy places the organism in Eukaryota, Metazoa, Chordata, Actinopteri, Blenniiformes, Blenniidae. The transcript is spliced from 2 exons. The record is from RefSeq and is a predicted model, not a curated record.